Molecule: long non-coding RNA, 1413 nt
Filed under: Daphnia pulex (common water flea)
Lineage: Eukaryota; Metazoa; Arthropoda; Branchiopoda; Diplostraca; Daphniidae
Description: uncharacterized LOC124202592, transcript variant X3
Source: RNAcentral
GUUUAUUUAUUGAGAAGAGUCGACUUUCUGUUCUGACAAGUUCUAGUUCUUUGACUUCUUUCUGUUUGAGCUUCUGUUCGAGAACGGACAUUAGGUUGAUGUCUGACCUGUUUGCAUGCAGAUGGUUUCGUUGCAGCCAGCUGGUGAAAGGGAAGGUCAAGUUGACCUGCAGCUACUGCAAAUAGGACUUUUUUCAUCCUAAAGGGUGAAAUUGUUACAUAAAGGUUUCAUUAAAAUGUUAGGUCCAAGUUUAACCCUGAUCUGAAUAAUCUGAUGUAGGAAGUUAUUAAUGUAAAAGCAGAUAAAAUGGCUUUAUGCUGGGGUUUUUGUAAAAGUCACCUGCUUGUUAAGCAUGUGAUAAGUUAGAAUUUUCUUUCUGAUCUACCUGGAACACAAAUAACCAUCUCUUUUCACAAAAUUUUGAAUACAACUUUGUCUUGUGGUUUUUUGUAGUAUUUUAAUUUGCUUGGAUUGAAAUUUUAAGUUGAACACUAGACAUAUUGUCUUCCUUUACACGUUUUUUAAACAUUUGGUUGACUGUACAAUCUGUUAAUUCAUCAUGUUGAUCUUCUACUCAAACAUCUUUAACUACUGUUCUAUCUAAAUUUAAUAUUUCGCUUUGUGCAUAUUGAAGUUUAAAUAUAUUAUCUUAUCUUUCAAAUUCAUCCAUUAACUUGUGUAAAAUUUGCCUUUAUUAUUGUAGUUUCAUAAGGCAAAAAUUAAUAAAUAUUUAAAAAUAUAGCCUUUAUUUCCAGAAAAAACAUAACAAAUUUAAUAUAAUUUCAAUUGCAAAAAUAAUUACGAUGACACACUUGACACCUACCUAAACUAAUCCAUAAAAAGUUGAACAUAUAUGUGAAAGGGAAAGUAAUAGAAAAUGGAGAGGACUGCUGCCUUACCAAUUUAAUUAGAUGCCAAGUCCCUAGAGUGAGGAUCGAAUGAGCCAGGGACGUGCUGUUGUGAGACAAGAUAGUGUAGAAAGGACUUUACAUCUUCGCCAUCAUUUGUGAUUAUUAACAUUUGCUGUUGCCUUUGCCUUACAGUAUGACACAAUGAAUAGAAACACAUUCUGAAUAACGGUAGCACCUUACCAACUUGGUGUUUUUCCUUUCAGCAAUCCACUGUUCAAGUGCUGUUGCCCGGGUGCUGAAACGUAUGGAAUCAUUUACUGAUGCCAUAGAGGAGGCACGUGAACGAAUAUCACUGCCUUCCCAGUUCCCAUCAUUGUAGAAGUUGGACUGGCGUCCAUUAUCACCUCGGGGAUUUCGUCUGUUGUGAUUCUGCGUGGUGGCUUCUUGGUGAAAUUUUACGGGGAGAAUAUUACAUGGCGUGGUGAUUGUGUCAUUUAUGGAAUGGCGGUUUGCUGUCAAAAGUUAAGCUAUCCUUUCUUCGAAAAUUACCAACAAAUUCAUA